GCCGGGGUGGCGGAAUCGGCAGACGCAGCUGACUUAAAAUCAGCCAGGGCAACCUAUGAGGGUUCGAGUCCCUCUCCCGGCA
Molecule: transfer RNA, 82 nt
Filed under: Chloroflexota bacterium
Lineage: Bacteria; Bacillati; Chloroflexota
Description: tRNA-Leu
Rfam family: tRNA
About the family: Transfer RNA (tRNA) molecules are approximately 80 nucleotides in length. Their secondary structure includes four short double-helical elements and three loops (D, anti-codon, and T loops). Further hydrogen bonds mediate the characteristic L-shaped molecular structure. tRNAs have two regions of fundamental functional importance: the anti-codon, which is responsible for specific mRNA codon recognition, and the 3' end, to which the tRNAs corresponding amino acid is attached (by aminoacyl-tRNA synthetases). tRNAs cope with the degeneracy of the genetic code in two manners: having more than one tRNA (with a specific anti-codon) for a particular amino acid; and 'wobble' base-pairing, i.e. permitting non-standard base-pairing at the 3rd anti-codon position.
Source: RNAcentral